This 458-nucleotide ribosomal RNA is filed under the name uncultured bacterium. RNAcentral's name for it is "bacterial SSU rRNA". It matches the Rfam family "Bacterial small subunit ribosomal RNA", at positions 335 to 785 of the family's 1533-position model. The record is from RNAcentral.
ACUCCUACGGGAGGCAGCAGUGGGGAAUAUUGCACAAUGGGCGCAAGCCUGAUGCAGCCAUGCCGCGUGUGUGAAGAAGGCCUUCGGGUUGUAAAGCACUUUCAGUUGUGAGGAAGGUGGUGUCGUUAAUAGCGGCAUCAUUUGACGUUAGCAACAGAAGAAGCACCGGCUAACUCCGUGCCAGCAGCCGCGGUAAUACGGAGGGUGCGAGCGUUAAUCGGAAUUACUGGGCGUAAAGCGCAUGCAGGUGGUUUGUUAAGUCAGAUGUGAAAGCCCGGGGCUCAACCUCGGAACUGCAUUUGAAACUGGCAGACUAGAGUACUGUAGAGGGGGGUAGAAUUUCAGGUGUAGCGGUGAAAUGCGUAGAGAUCUGAAGGAAUACCGGUGGCGAAGGCGGCCCCCUGGACAGAUACUGACACUCAGAUGCGAAAGCGUGGGGAGCAAACAGGAUUAGAUAC